RNAcentral lists this transfer RNA (71 nucleotides) under Escherichia phage EcS1. It matches the Rfam family "tRNA". From Rfam's summary of the family: Transfer RNA (tRNA) molecules are approximately 80 nucleotides in length. Their secondary structure includes four short double-helical elements and three loops (D, anti-codon, and T loops). The record is from Rfam by way of RNAcentral. Lineage: Duplodnaviria; Heunggongvirae; Uroviricota; Caudoviricetes; Pantevenvirales; Straboviridae.
GGGUCCUUGGUAUAGUGGUAUCAUUCUGAGCUCCAACCUCAGCGACGUGGGUUCGAUUCCUACAGGGCCUG